Molecule: non-coding RNA, 98 nt
Organism: Acanthosepion pharaonis
Lineage: Eukaryota; Metazoa; Mollusca; Cephalopoda; Sepiida; Sepiidae
Source: the annotation of a GenBank genome assembly
GUUGAAACACCAGUUCUCAUAUGAUCAUCGAAGUUAAGUAAUGUUGAGCCUAGUCAGUACCUAGAUGGGUAACCACUGGAGAAUGCACAUGCCGUAAG